UGGGGAUUAGUGGCGAACGGGUGAGUAACACGUGGGCAAUCUGCCCUGCACUCUGGGACAAGCCCUGGAAACGGGGUCUAAUACCGGAUACUGAUCCUCGCAGGCAUCUGCGAGGUUCGAAAGCUCCGGCGGUGCAGGAUGAGCCCGCGGCCUAUCAGCUAGUUGGUGAGGUAACGGCUCACCAAGGCGACGACGGGUAGCCGGCCUGAGAGGGCGACCGGCCACACUGGGACUGAGACACGGCCCAGACUCCUACGGGAGGCAGCAGUGGGGAAUAUUGCACAAUGGGCGAAAGCCUGAUGCAGCGACGCCGCGUGAGGGAUGACGGCCUUCGGGUUGUAAACCUCUUUCAGCAGGGAAGAAGCGAAAGUGACGGUACCUGCAGAAGAAGCGCCGGCUAACUACGUGCCAGCAGCCGCGGUAAUACGUAGGGCGCAAGCGUUGUCCGGAAUUAUUGGGCGUAAAGAGCUCGUAGGCGGCUUGUCACGUCGGUUGUGAAAGCCCGGGGCUUAACCCCGGGUCUGCAGUCGAUACGGGCAGGCUAGAGUUCGGUAGGGGAGAUCGGAAUUCCUGGUGUAGCGGUGAAAUGCGCAGAUAUCAGGAGGAACACCGGUGGCGAAGGCGGAUCUCUGGGCCGAUACUGACGCUGAGGAGCGAAAGCGUGGGGAGCGAACAGGAUUAGAUACCCUGGUAGUCCACGCCGUAAACGGUGGGCACUAGGUGUGGGCAACAUUCCACGUUGUCCGUGCCGCAGCUAACGCAUUAAGUGCCCCGCCUGGGGAGUACGGCCGCAAGGCUAAAACUCAAAGGAAUUGACGGGGGCCCGCACAAGCGGCGGAGCAUGUGGCUUAUUCGACGCAACGCGAAGAACCUUACCAAGGCUUGACAUACACCGGAAAACCCGGAGACAGGGUCCCCCUUGUGGUCGGUGUACAGGUGGUGCAUGGCGUCGUCAGCUCGUGUCGUGAGAUGUUGGGUUAAGUCCCGCAACGAGCGCAACCCUUGUCCCGUGUUGCCAGCAGGCCCUUGUGGUGCUGGGGACUCACGGGAGACCGCCGGGGUCAACUCGGAGGAAGGUGGGGACGACGUCAAGUCAUCAUGCCCCUUAUGUCUUGGGCUGCACACGUGCUACAAUGGCCGGUACAAUGAGCUGCGAUACCGCGAGGUGGAGCGAAUCUCAAAAAGCCGGUCUCAGUUCGGAUUGGGGUCUGCAACUCGACCCCAUGAAGUCGGAGUCGCUAGUAAUCGCAGAUCAGCAUUGCUGCGGUGAAUACGUUCCCGGGCCUUGUACACACCGCCCGUCACGUCACGAAAGUCGGUAACAC
RNAcentral lists this ribosomal RNA (1325 nucleotides) under Streptomyces sp. RNAcentral's name for it is "bacterial SSU rRNA". It matches the Rfam family "Bacterial small subunit ribosomal RNA", at positions 86 to 1420 of the family's 1533-position model. The record is from RNAcentral. Lineage: Bacteria; Bacillati; Actinomycetota; Actinomycetes; Kitasatosporales; Streptomycetaceae.